CGCGGCGCGGAAUGGUUCUAAGGCGGGGCUCAUAUCCCCGCCUCGCGGGUUCGACUCCCGCCGCCGCAACCA
This 72-nucleotide transfer RNA is filed under the name Candidatus Defluviicoccus seviourii. RNAcentral's name for it is "tRNA-OTHER". RNAcentral also lists the same sequence under 1 other name. Lineage: Bacteria; Pseudomonadati; Pseudomonadota; Alphaproteobacteria; Rhodospirillales; Rhodospirillaceae. The record is from RNAcentral.